UACGUAGGGGGCAAGCGUUGUCCGGAAUCAUUGGGCGUAAAGCGCGCGUAGGCGGCCCGGUAAGUCUGCUGUGAAAGUCCAAGGCUCAACCUUGGGAUGCCGGUGGAUACUGUCGAGCUCGAGUCCGGAAGAGGAGUGUGGAAUUCCUGGUGUAGCGGUGAAAUGCGCAGAUAUCAGGAGGAACACCAAUGGCGAAGGCAGCACUCUGGGACGUGACUGACGCUGAGACGCGAAAGCGUGGGGAGCAAACAGG
RNAcentral lists this ribosomal RNA (253 nucleotides) under uncultured bacterium. Its description in RNAcentral is "partial 16S ribosomal RNA". It matches the Rfam family "Bacterial small subunit ribosomal RNA", at positions 524 to 776 of the family's 1533-position model. The record is from RNAcentral.